AAACUUAAAGGAAUUGACGGGGACCCGCACAAGCGGUGGAUGAUGUGGUUUAAUUCGAUGCAACGCGAAAACCUUACCUACCCUUGACAUGUCUGGAAUCCUGAAGAGAUUUGGGAGUGCUCGAAAGAGAGCCAGAACACAGGUGCUGCAUGGCCGUCGUCAGCUCGUGUCGUGAGAUGUUGGGUUAAGUCCCGCAACGAGCGCAACCCUUAUCAUUAGUUGCUACGCAAGGGCACUCUAAUGAGACUGCCGGUGACAAACCGGAGGAAGGUGGGGAUGACGUCAGGUCAUCAUGGCCCUUAUGGGUAGGGCUACACACGUCAUACAAUGGCCGGUACAGAGGGCUGCCAACCCGCGAGGGGGAGCUAAUCUCAGAAACCGGUCGUAGUCCGGAUCGCAGUCUGCAACUCGACUGCGUGAAGUCGGAAUCGCUAGUAAUCGCGGAUCAGCUUGCCGCGGUGAAUACGUUCCCGGGUCUUGUACACACCGCCCGUCACACCAUGGGAGCGGGUUCUGCCAGAAGUAGUUAGCCUAACCGCAAGGAGGGCGAUUACCACGGCAGGGUUCGUGACUGGGGUGAAGUCGUAACAAGGUAGCCGUAUCGGAAGGUGCGGCUGGAUCACCUCCUUU
This 630-nucleotide ribosomal RNA is filed under the name uncultured Comamonadaceae bacterium. RNAcentral's name for it is "bacterial SSU rRNA". It matches the Rfam family "Bacterial small subunit ribosomal RNA", at positions 897 to 1533 of the family's 1533-position model. Lineage: Bacteria; Pseudomonadati; Pseudomonadota; Betaproteobacteria; Burkholderiales; Comamonadaceae. The record is from RNAcentral.